UACGAAGGUGGCAAGCGUUGUCCGGAAUCAUUGGGCGUAAAGCGCGUGUAGGCGGCUUUGCAAGUCGGGUGUGAAAGCCCUCAGCUCAACUGAGGAAGUGCGCCCGAAACUGCAGAGCUUGAGUGCCGGAGAGGGUGGCGGAAUUCCCCAAGUAGAGGUGAAAUUCGUAGAUAUGGGGAGGAACACCGGUGGCGAAGGCGGCCACCUGGACGGUAACUGACGCUGAGACGCGAAAGCGUGGGGAGCAAACAGG
RNAcentral lists this ribosomal RNA (253 nucleotides) under uncultured bacterium. RNAcentral's name for it is "partial 16S ribosomal RNA". It matches the Rfam family "Bacterial small subunit ribosomal RNA", at positions 524 to 776 of the family's 1533-position model. The record is from RNAcentral.